AUUGAACGCUGGCGGCAUGCCUUACACAUGCAAGUCGAACGGCAGCACGGGGGCAACCCUGGUGGCGAGUGGCGAACGGGUGAGUACUGCAUCGGAACGUGCCCAGUAGUGGGGGAUAACUAGUCGAAAGAUUAGCUAAUACCGCAUACGCACUGAGGUGGAAAGCGGGGGAUCGCAAGACCUCGCGCUAUUGGAGCGGCCGAUGUCCGAUUAGGUAGUUGGUGGGGUAAAAGCCUACCAAGCCGACGAUCGGUAACUGGUCUGAGAGGACGACCAGUCACACUGGGACUGAGACACGGCCCAGACUCCUACGGGAGGCAGCAGUGGGGAAUUUUGGACAAUGGGGGCAACCCUGAUCCAGCAAUGCCGCGUGUGUGAUGAAGGCCUUCGGGUUGUAAAGCACUUUUGGCGGGAAAGAAACGGCGCUUGCUAAUACCAGGCGCUAAUGACGGUACCCGCAGAAUAAGCACCGGCUAACUACGUG
This 484-nucleotide ribosomal RNA is filed under the name uncultured organism. RNAcentral describes it as "bacterial SSU rRNA". It matches the Rfam family "Bacterial small subunit ribosomal RNA", at positions 30 to 507 of the family's 1533-position model. The record is from RNAcentral.